GACGAACGCUGGCGGCGUGCUUAACACAUGCAAGUCGAACGGAAAGGCCCCUUUGGGGGUACUCGAGUGGCGAACGGGUGAGUAACACGUGAGUAACCUGCCCUUGACUUCGGGAUAACUUCAGGAAACUGGGGCUAAUACCGGAUAGGAAUCCUUGCUGCAUGGUGGGGGUUGGAAAGCUUCGGCGGUUUUGGAUGGACUCGCGGCUUAUCAGCUUGUUGGUGGGGUAGUGGCUUACCAAGGCUUUGACGGGUAGCCGGCCUGAGAGGGCGACCGGCCACAUUGGGACUGAGAUACGGCCCAGACUCCUACGGGAGGCAGCAGCGGGGAAUAUUGCACAAUGGGCGGAAGCCUGAUGCAGCAACGCCGCGUGCGGGAUGACGGCCUUCGGGUUGUAAACCGCUUUCAGCAGGGGCGAAGCUUGUGGUGACGGUACCUGCAGAAGAAGCACCGGCUAACUACGUG
This 465-nucleotide ribosomal RNA is filed under the name uncultured bacterium. RNAcentral's name for it is "partial 16S ribosomal RNA". It matches the Rfam family "Bacterial small subunit ribosomal RNA", at positions 28 to 507 of the family's 1533-position model. The record is from RNAcentral.